AAAUUAUCUAGAGAGGUGGAGGGACUGGCCCAAUGAAACCCGGCAACCGGUAUUAUUUUAAAUAAUAUCAUGGUGCCAACUCCUGCAGCAUUAAGCUGAAAGAUAAGGA
This 109-nucleotide non-coding RNA is filed under the name Clostridium acetireducens. Its description in RNAcentral is "SAM-I sequence". It matches the Rfam family "SAM riboswitch aptamer (S box leader)". From Rfam's summary of the family: The SAM riboswitch is found upstream of a number of genes which code for proteins involved in methionine or cysteine biosynthesis in Gram-positive bacteria. The SAM riboswitch acts at the level of transcription termination control. Lineage: Bacteria; Bacillati; Bacillota; Clostridia; Eubacteriales; Clostridiaceae. RNAcentral also lists the same sequence under 1 other name. The record is from RNAcentral.